AUUGAACGCUGGCGGCAGGCCUAACACAUGCAAGUCGAGCGGAUGAAGGGAGCUUGCUCCUGGAUUCAGCGGCGGACGGGUGAGUAAUGCCUAGGAAUCUGCCUGGUAGUGGGGGAUAACGUCCGGAAACGGGCGCUAAUACCGCAUACGUCCUGAGGGAGCAAGUGGGGGAUCUUCGGACCUCACGCUAUCAGAUGAGCCUAGGUCGGAUUAGCUAGUUGGUGGGGUAAAGGCCUACCAAGGCGACGAUCCGUAACUGGUCUGAGAGGAUGAUCAGUCACACGGGAACUGAGACACGGUCCAGACUCCUACGGGAGGCAGCAGUGGGGAAUAUUGGACAAUGGGCGAAAGCCUGAUACAGCCAUGCCGCGUGUGUGAAGAAGGUCUUCGGAUUGUAAAGCACUUUAAGUUGGGAGGAAGGGCAGUAAGUUAAUACCUUGCUGUUUUGACGUUACCAACAGAAUAAGCACCGGCUAACUUCGUG
This 484-nucleotide ribosomal RNA is filed under the name uncultured bacterium. Its description in RNAcentral is "partial 16S ribosomal RNA". It matches the Rfam family "Bacterial small subunit ribosomal RNA", at positions 30 to 507 of the family's 1533-position model. The record is from RNAcentral.